AGCGACCGCUAUUGGAAUUCGAUUAAGCCAUGCGAGUCGAGAGUCUUAGGGACUCGGCGUACCGCUCAGUAACACGUGGGUAACCUGCCCUGUGCUGGAGAAUAACCUCGGGAAACUGAGAAUAAUGCUCCAUAGUUCACCACGCCUGGAACGGUGGGUGGAUCAAAGCUCCGGCGGCACAGGAUGGGCCUGCGGCGUAUCAGGUCGUAGGGGGUGUAACGUACCCUCUAGCCUUCAACGCGUACGGGUUGUGGGAGCAAUCGCCCGGAGAUGGAUUCUGAGACACGAAUCCAGACCCUACGGGGUGCAGCAGGCGCGAAAACUUCACACUGCAGGAAACUGUGAUGAGGGAAUUCCAAGUGGCUAGACAAAGUCUAGUCUUUUUGUAACUUUUAAUUGGUUGCAGAAUAAGGGGUGGGAAAGACCGGCGCCAGCCGCCGCGGUAAUACCGGCACCUCAAGUGGUCGUCGCUUUUAUUGGGCCUAAAACGUCCGUCGCCUGUUUGGUACAUUCGUGGGUAAAUCAACCAGCUCAACUGGUUGAAUUCUGCGAGGACGGCCAGACUAGGGACCGGGAGAGGUAUGGGGUACUCUCAGGGUAGGGGUAAAAUCCAGUCAUCCUGAGGGGACCACCUGUUGCGAAGGCGCCAUACUAGAACGGAUCCGACGGUCAGGGACGAAGCCUAGGGGCACGAACCGGAUUAGAUACCCGGGUAGUCCUAGGUGUAAACGCUGUGGACUUGGUGUUGGGGAUUCUACGAGUAUCCCCAGUGCCGGAGUGAAGAUGUUAAGUCCACUGCCUGGGGAGUACGGUCGCAAGGCUGAAACUUAAAGGAAUUGGCGGGGGAGCACAGCAACGAGAGGAGCGUGCGGUUUAAUUGGAUUCAACGCCGGAAAACUCACCAGAGCCGACGGACAUAUGAAGAUCAGCGUGAUGAGCUUAUUGGAUUGUUCGAGAGGUAGUGCAUGGCCGUCGUCAGUUCGUACCGUAAGGCGUUCUGUUAAGUCAGAUAACGAACGAGACCCCUAUCGUCUAUUUGCUAGACGGAUCUCCGGAUUCGUCGCACUAUAGCGAGACCGC
RNAcentral lists this ribosomal RNA (1080 nucleotides) under uncultured archaeon. RNAcentral describes it as "bacterial SSU rRNA". It matches the Rfam family "Archaeal small subunit ribosomal RNA", at positions 21 to 1108 of the family's 1478-position model. The record is from RNAcentral.